Molecule: ribosomal RNA, 1346 nt
Filed under: uncultured bacterium
Lineage: Bacteria
Description: bacterial SSU rRNA
Rfam family: Bacterial small subunit ribosomal RNA
Source: RNAcentral
GGCGGCGUGCUUAACACAUGCAAGUCGAACGGACUCUUAUUGAAACCUAGUGAUAUAUGAGUUAGUGGCGGACGGGUGAGUAACGCGUGGGUAACCUGCCUUACACAGGGGGAUAACACUUAGAAAUAGGUGCUAAAACCGCAUAAGCGCACAGCUUUGCAUGAAGCAGUGUGAAAAACUCCGGUGGUGUAAGAUGGACCCGCGUCUGAUUAGCUUGUUGGCGGGGUAACGGCCCACCAAGGCGACGAUCAGUAGCCGGCCUGAGAGGGCGGACGGCCACAUUGGGACUGAGACACGGCCCAGACUCCUACGGGAGGCAGCAGUGGGGAAUAUUGCACAAUGGGGGAAACCCUGAUGCAGCGACGCCGCGUGAGUGAAGAAGUAAUUCGUUACGUAAAGCUCUAUCAGCAGGGAAGAAAUACUGACCUUACGGUCAGCAGACGGUACCUGAGUAAGAAGCCCCGGCUAACUACGUGCCAGCAGCCGCGGUAAUACGUAGGGGGCAAGCGUUAUCCGGAUUUACUGGGUGUAAAGGGAGCGUAGACGGUACGCCAAGUCUGAAGUGAAAUGCCGCAGCUUAACUGCGGAACUGCUUUGGAAACUGGCGGGCUGGAGUGCGGGAGGGGUAAGCGGAAUUCCUAGUGUAGCGGUGAAAUGCGUAGAUAUUAGGAGGAACACCGGUGGCGAAGGCGGCUUACUGGACCGUAACUGACGUUGAGGCUCGAAAGCGUGAGGAGCAAACAGGAUUAGAUACCCUGGUAGUCCACGCCGUAAACCGAUGAUUAUAAGGUGUCGGGGCCAUAAGGGGCUUCGGGCACACCGCAAACGCAAUAAGUAAUCCACCUGGGGGAGUACGUUAGCAAGAAUGAAAAUUCAAAGGAAUUGACGGGGACCCGCACAAGCGGUGGAGCAUGUGGGUUUUAAUUUGAAGCAACGCGAAGAACCUUACCUGCCCUUGACAUCCGGAUGAAUAAGGGGUAAUGCCCUUAGCCCUUCGGGGCAUCCGAGACAGGUGGCGCAUGGUUGUCGUCAGCUCGUGUCGUGAGAUGUUGGGGUUAAGUCCCGCAACGAGCGCAACCCCUAUCUUCAGUAGCCAGCAUUUAGGAUGGGCACUCUGGAGAGACUGCCCGGGACAACCGGGAGGAAGGCGGGGAUGACGUCAAAUCAUCAUGCCCCUUAUGGGCAGGGCUACACACGUGCUACAAUGGCGGAAACAGAGGGAGGCAAGCCGGCGACGGCAAGCAAACCCCAAAAAUACCGUCUCAGUUCGGACUGUAGUCUGCAACCCGACUACACGAAGCCGGAAUCGCUAGUAAUCGAGAAUCAGAAUGUCGCGGUGAAUACGU